AUCCGCUGCGCUAAACUCUUUAAAAAAUUACCCCCUCCGAUACCAACAAUUGGUAUCAGAGCUUGCUUUGAUAUUCUUUCAAAAUCUUUGCGAAAAUGGCCGGUCACAGUCAAAACUUUGUUUAUGCUGAGGGUGCGUCUAUUAACAGACCUCCGUUGUUUACUGGAGAUAAUUAUGCUUUUUAGAAAGUAAGAAUGGAAGUUUUUAUGGGGUCUGUUGAUAGAGGCAUUUGGGAAGCUGUACAAAAUGACCCUUAUAUUCCUAUGUAUACAGUAGAUGGCGUAGAGACAGUAAAACCUUAUUUUAAUUGGACUGCUGAGGAAAAUAGACGAGCACAGUUUGAUAUUAAAGCUCGUAAUAUUAUUUCAUCUGCUGUUGUGCUUGAUGAAUUUUAUAGAAUCUCUGUGUGUAAGACAGCACAGGAAAUGUGAGAUGUUCUGAGAGUCACACAUGAGGGUACUGAGGACGUGAAACGAGCAAGGAAGAACACUCUCAUUCAAGAAUAUGAGAUGUUCAGAAUGCAACCUGGAGAAUCAAUCUCAGAUGUUCAAAAGCGUUUCACUCACAUAGUGAACCACUUAAUAGGGUUGGGUAAGAUUUUUGAUA
RNAcentral lists this long non-coding RNA (606 nucleotides) under Vigna radiata. Its description in RNAcentral is "long non-coding RNA (VRAD_LNC008743)". Lineage: Eukaryota; Viridiplantae; Streptophyta; Magnoliopsida; Fabales; Fabaceae. The record is from RNAcentral.